This 189-nucleotide ribozyme is filed under the name Anopheles stephensi (Asian malaria mosquito). RNAcentral's name for it is "drz-agam-2-2 ribozyme". It matches the Rfam family "drz-agam-2-2 ribozyme". Lineage: Eukaryota; Metazoa; Arthropoda; Insecta; Diptera; Culicidae. The record is from Rfam by way of RNAcentral.
AUCAGUGCGGUACCCGUAUCAACGGGUAUGGUCCGACGCCUCUUGAAGGAUAAUAUAGGAUCUUCAUACACCGACUCAAUACGUCCAUGGCGUACAGAACGGUAACAUAUUUCUCCAAUAAUCUGAGGUUGGGUACACGGGGAAACGCAACCCCUUGGGAGGAUGGGUCAUAUGGCUAAAUUGAGCGGG